Molecule: ribosomal RNA, 254 nt
Filed under: uncultured bacterium
Lineage: Bacteria
Description: partial 16S ribosomal RNA
Rfam family: Bacterial small subunit ribosomal RNA
Source: RNAcentral
UACGUAGGGGGCAAGCGUUGUCCGGAUUUAUUGGGCGUAAAGAGCGUGUAGGCGGUUUGGUAGGUCCGCUGUGAAAACUCGAGGCUCAACCUCGAGACGCCGGUGGAAACCAUCAGACUAGAGUCCGGAAGAGGAGAGUGGAAUUCCUGGUGUAGUGGUGAAAUGCGCAGAUAUCAGGAAGAACACCCGUGGCUAAGGCGGCUCUCUAGUACGGUACUGGACGCUGAGACGCGAAAGCGUGGGGAGCGAACAGG